UACGAAGGGUGCUAGCGUUGUUCGGAAUCACUGGGCGUAAAGCGCGCGUAGGCGGCUUUUCAAGUCAGGGGUGAAAUCCUGGGGCUCAACCCCAGAAUUGCCCUUGAAACUGUAAAGCUAGAGUGUCGGAGGGGAUAGCGGAAUUCCUAAUGUAGCAGUGAAAUGCGUAGAUAUUAGGAGGAACACCGGUGGCGAAGGCGGCUAUCUGGACGACAACUGACGCUGAGGCGCGAAAGCGUGGGGAUCAAACAGG
Molecule: ribosomal RNA, 253 nt
Filed under: uncultured bacterium
Lineage: Bacteria
Description: partial 16S ribosomal RNA
Rfam family: Bacterial small subunit ribosomal RNA
Source: RNAcentral